RNAcentral lists this ribosomal RNA (497 nucleotides) under uncultured bacterium. RNAcentral describes it as "partial 16S ribosomal RNA". It matches the Rfam family "Bacterial small subunit ribosomal RNA", at positions 28 to 507 of the family's 1533-position model. The record is from RNAcentral.
GAUGAACGCUGGCGGCGUGCCUAAUACAUGCAAGUCGAGCGAACAGACGAGGAGCUUGCUCCUCUGACGUUAGCGGCGGACGGGUGAGUAACGCGUGGAUAACCUACCUAUAAGACUGGGAUAACUUCGGGAAACCGGAGCUAAUACCGGAUAAUAUAUUGAACCGCAUGGUUCAAUAGUGAAAGACGGUUUUGCUGUCACUUAUAGAUGGAUCCGCGCCGCAUUAGCUAGUUGGUAAGGUAACGGCUUACCAAGGCAACGAUGCGUAGCCGACCUGAGAGGGUGAUCGGCCACACUGGAACUGAGACACGGUCCAGACUCCUACGGGAGGCAGCAGUAGGGAAUCUUCCGCAAUGGGCGAAAGCCUGACGGAGCAACGCCGCGUGAGUGAUGAAGGCCUUCGGAUCGUAAAACUCUGUUAUUAGGGAAGAACAAAUGUGUAAGUAACUAUGCACGUCUUGACGGUACCUAAUCAGAAAGCCACGGCUAACUACGUG